CCCAGUAAACGGCGGCCGUAACUAUAACGGUCCUAAGGUAGCGAAAUUCCUUGUCAGGUAAGUUCUGACCCGCACGAAAGGCGUAACGAUUUGGGCGCUGUCUCGGCAGCAGACUCGGUGAAAUCUUAGUACCUGUGAAAAUGCAGGUUACCCGCAACUAGACGGAAAGACCCCAUGGAGCUUUACUGUAGCCUGAUAUUGAAUUUUGAUCAAAGAUGUACAGGAUAGGUGGGAGGCGAAGAGACGUGUACGCCAGUAUACGAGGAGCCGCUGUUGGGAUACCACUCUUGUUUGAUUGAAGUUCUAACCUGCACCCAUGAACUGGGUGAGGGACCGUGUCAGGUGGGCAGUUUGACUGGGGCGGUCGCCUCCUAAAGAGUAACGGAGGCGCCCAAAGGUACGCUCAGAUUGGAUGGAAAUCAAUCGACGAGUGCAAAUGCAGAAGCGUGCUUGACUGUGAGACAAACAAGUCGAACAGGGACGAAAGUCGGGAUUAGUGAUCCGGCGGUGCCGAAUGGAAGGGCCGUCGCUCAACGGAUAAAAGCUACCCUGGGGAUAACAGGCUGAUCUCCCCCAAGAGUCCACAUCGACGGGGAGGUUUGGCACCUCGAUGUCGGCUCGUCGCAUCCUGGGGCUGUAGUAGGUCCCAAGGGUUGGGCUGUUCGCCCAUUAAAGCGGUACGCGAGCUGGGUUCAGAACGUCGUGAGACAGUUCGGUCCCUAUCUGUUGUGGGCGUUGGAGAUCUGAGGAGAGCUGUCCUUAGUACGAGAGGACCGGGAUGGACCUACCGCUGGUGCACCAGUUGUUCCGCCAGGAGCAUAGCUGGGUAGCUAAGUAGGGAAGGGAUAAGCGCUGAAAGCAUCUAAGCGCGAAGCCUACUCCAAGAUGAGAUCUCCCAUUCGUAUAACGAAGUAAGACCCCUUGAAGACGACGAGGUGGAUAGGUCAGAGAUGGAAGUGUAGCGAUACAUGGAGUUGACUGAUACUAAUAGGUCGAGGACUUAAUCAC
RNAcentral lists this ribosomal RNA (1008 nucleotides) under human gut metagenome. RNAcentral's name for it is "bacterial LSU rRNA". It matches the Rfam family "Bacterial large subunit ribosomal RNA", at positions 1919 to 2925 of the family's 2925-position model. The record is from RNAcentral.